UCGGACAAGAUAGAAGCCAUGAACUGGUCAACAGCACGAGCUUCGUGGUUGAUAGCGGCUCCGGUAACCUCGCUGUCUUCAACAGUCGGGGACAGGUACGUUGCACCUGGAGGAGAGGUGGCGAAGUCCGAGGGGAAGGGCUACUCUGUGUUACACUUGGGGCCUUGCAACUUGAGCCAGUCUCCCGAUAAAAUAUUGGUGCUAUAGUGAUUUAUCAAAUCCAUUUGUAGGAUAGGAUUUGAAAUUUCAUUAGAUAAAGUUUAAAAGAUGUCAAUCAGAUAAAUUUCAGAUGAUGUUAA
This is a long non-coding RNA of Musa acuminata AAA Group (dessert banana), 299 nucleotides long. RefSeq lists it as uncharacterized. The record is from RefSeq and is a predicted model, not a curated record. The transcript has 2 exons. NCBI's taxonomy places the organism in Eukaryota, Viridiplantae, Streptophyta, Magnoliopsida, Zingiberales, Musaceae.